UACGGAGGGGGCGAGCGUUGUUCGGAGUUACUGGGCGUAAAGGGCGCGUAGGCGGCGCUCCAAGUUAGGCGUGAAAGCCCCGGGCUCAACCUGGGAAUAGCGCUUAAGACUGGAGUGCUCGAGUGCGGAAGAGGUGAGUGGAAUUCCCAGUGUAGAGGUGAAAUUCGUAGAUAUUGGGAAGAACACCAGUGGCGAAGGCGGCUCACUGGUCCGCAACUGACGCUGAGGCGCGAAAGCGUGGGGAGCAAACAGG
RNAcentral lists this ribosomal RNA (253 nucleotides) under uncultured bacterium. RNAcentral describes it as "partial 16S ribosomal RNA". It matches the Rfam family "Bacterial small subunit ribosomal RNA", at positions 524 to 776 of the family's 1533-position model. The record is from RNAcentral.